Long non-coding RNA from Boleophthalmus pectinirostris (great blue-spotted mudskipper), 1984 nucleotides. RefSeq lists it as uncharacterized. The transcript is spliced from 6 exons. The record is from RefSeq and is a predicted model, not a curated record. NCBI's taxonomy places the organism in Eukaryota, Metazoa, Chordata, Actinopteri, Gobiiformes, Gobiidae.
CCUGCACACAGAGAAGACAUGAGGUCCUCCUCACAGUCUACAGAGAAGACAUGAGGUCCUCCUCACAGUCUACAGAGAAGACAUGAGGUCCUCCUCACAGUCUACAGAGAAGACAUGAGGUCCUCCUCACAGUCUACAGAGAAGACAUGAGGUCCUCCUCACAGUCUACAGAGAAGACAUGAGGUCCUCCUCACAGUCUACAGAGAAGACAUGAGGUCCUCCUCACAGAGCUGCACAGCACAAAACUAAAACUAAGGACACAAGCACAGAAAGUAAGUACUAUACACAGAGAGUACUAUACAUAGAGAAUAUUAUAUACAGAAGUACUAUACACACAGAGAGUACUAUACAUAGAGAAUACUAUAUACAGAGGUACUAUACACAAAGGCACCAUACACAGAGAUACUACCCUACUAGCAUAAGGAUCCGCAGCGGAUCCGCUUUCGCUCCGCCAAAUCCGCCCCACAGUCCGUCCGCUUUGCGGAUCCGCUGCGUAUUUGUUCCGUAUUCACAUUCUGACUGUUGCUAACCCUAACCCUUGGAUGGCCUGCUGUUACAGAGAGAAUCUGCGGUUAAAUCAUCUUAGAUCCGCACUGUGAACGUACUUUUAACACAACACUUUGUUUUUGACACAAUGAUUUGUACUAUCAAUGCGCGGAUCCGCGGCUAACCCGGUUCGGAUUCGCUGCGCGGACGCGCCACUGACUCAUCAGCCGUUAUCAGAACCUGAGAGAAAGAAACAACAUCCACCUGUUGUCCGUGGAUUUCACUUUUUGACGAGUGCAGUAGGAAAGUUAGCGACAGGAGCAGCUGACGUGAUGAAGACGAUGUGAGGUCAGGAGUCAGGAUAACUCCAUCUCUUGAGCUAGAUCCCAGUCUAAAUACUAUUUUUAUAUAACGGUACUUAUAUUCUUGUAUAUUUUUACGAUCACAGAAUUGUAAUUCUGCUCCGUGAUCAUUGGUCGUGUCUAACGGGCUCGGUUCUGGCUGGACGCCGCUCUCGGCGCUCUCCCUUCGUCUGUGGAGCGACGGUGACACCGGUGUCUGAUCUGGUUGUGUUUUUAACCAGAGAUAAUUAUUAUUUGUGUAGACUAGAGUGUUGACUGUUGAGUUGAGACUAAAGUGCAUCAUGUCAGUGCCUUAAUACAAUAAUUUAACGCAACGUGCCAUAAUACAAUAACGUAACGUAAUAAAAAGCACAACUUUUAACAGCUAACGUUAGAUAACCAACCAAAACUUGUGUUGUUUUUCCCCAGAUGACAUCAGGAGCCCCUGUCCUUCUGCUGAGUGUCCCCAUCAGGAGCCCCUGUCCUUCUGCUGAGUGUCCCCAUCAGGAGCCCGGCACGCUGAUCAGAAAAUAUACUAUGGUUAAUAAGAAGAUGGACAUAACAGCAUGAUAAAGACCCUCUGGAGAAUUCCCUCUGCUGGGCCAAGUUCCAAAAAUGUAGAGACAGACCCUGUAACAUGCUGUGGUGGAGUUUAAAGACUGAGCCUCUAUGCUGUGAGAAAGGGGAAGCCCAGAGCUGGACACUGACAGACUGGAUCUUCACCAGUAGGACUGAAGAGGAGCCAGACUCACUACACCUCUGCCUCAAAACAUCUGCCUCAGACUGAAGCUAAAGACAGAGGCUCUGAAGCUCCCACACUGCACACUCUAUAAGAACAACCACCCGUCUAAUUGUUCUGUGGUGGUAAACACAAGUUAAGUUUGAGUUUGAACAGUAUGGUAUGGCUACACUCUGUCUCAUCUGUCCAGGCUUUUACUCAUAUAGCUUAUAUUUGUUUUUUGCCAUUUAAAAAAAAACAAAAACUUUGCUUAACUUGAACUAUUUUUAGUAAAAACUGUAAAUUGUCAUUUUCAUAUUAAGAAUGAAGCAUUGGUUAACUCGAAGGGUAUAUAAGUCCUAUAACAUUAAUAAUGAUUAUUCAUGUCCUAAGAUUUCUAAUUAAUGAUUUAAAUAAAUAUUGUUUACAAUGUAAAAAA